RNAcentral lists this ribosomal RNA (254 nucleotides) under uncultured bacterium. RNAcentral's name for it is "partial 16S ribosomal RNA". It matches the Rfam family "Bacterial small subunit ribosomal RNA", at positions 524 to 776 of the family's 1533-position model. The record is from RNAcentral.
UACGUAGGGUGCAAGCGUUGUCCGGAAUUAUUGGGCGUAAAGAGCUCGUAGGCGGUUUGUCGCGUCUGCUGUGAAAUCCCGAGGCUCAACCCUCGGGCCUGCAGUGGGUACGGGGCAGACUAGAGUGCGGUAGGGGAGAUUGGAAUUCCUGGUGUAGCGGUGGAAUGCGCAGAUAUCAGGAGGAACACCGAUGGCGAAGGCAGAUCUCUGGGCCGUAACUGACGCUGAGGAGCGAAAGCGUGGGAGCGAACAGG